This 264-nucleotide ribosomal RNA is filed under the name uncultured bacterium. RNAcentral describes it as "partial 16S ribosomal RNA". It matches the Rfam family "Bacterial small subunit ribosomal RNA", at positions 1238 to 1500 of the family's 1533-position model. The record is from RNAcentral.
UACAACGAGAAGCGAACCUGCGAAGGCAAGCGGAUCUCUUAAAGCCGUUCUCAGUUCGGACUGUAGGCUGCAACUCGCCUACACGAAGCUGGAAUCGCUAGUAAUCGCGGAUCAGCACGCCGCGGUGAAUACGUUCCCGGGCCUUGUACACACCGCCCGUCACACCAUGGGAGUUUGUAACGCCCAAAGUCGGUGGCCUAACCUUUAUGGAGGGAGCCGCCUAAGGCGGGACAGAUGACUGGGGUGAAGUCGUAACAAGGUAUC